UACAGGGGGGGCAAGCGUUGUUCGGAAUUACUGGGCGUAAAGGGCUCGUAGGUGGCCAACUAAGUCAGACGUGAAAUCCCUCAGCUUAACUGGGGAACUGCGUCUGAUACUGGAUGGCUUGAGUUUGGGAGAGGGAUGCGGAAUUCCAGGUGUAGCGGUGUAAUGCGUAGAUAUCUGGAGGAACACCGGUGGCGAAGGCGGCAUCCUGGACCAAUACUGACACUGAGGAGCGAAAGCCAGGGGAGCAAACGGG
RNAcentral lists this ribosomal RNA (253 nucleotides) under uncultured bacterium. RNAcentral describes it as "partial 16S ribosomal RNA". It matches the Rfam family "Bacterial small subunit ribosomal RNA", at positions 524 to 776 of the family's 1533-position model. The record is from RNAcentral.